This 284-nucleotide ribosomal RNA is filed under the name Ixodes ricinus (castor bean tick). RNAcentral describes it as "partial small subunit ribosomal RNA". Lineage: Eukaryota; Metazoa; Arthropoda; Arachnida; Ixodida; Ixodidae. The record is from RNAcentral.
AAAAUAAAAUUUGAUUUUAAAAAAAUUUAAUUUUUAAACUAGGAUUAGAUACCCUAUUAUUUUAAGCUUAAUGUUGGUAGUAAGUAAAAUUUAUGAAAUCAUAAAAUUUUGGCGGUAUUUUAAGCUUGUUAGAGGAAUUUGCUCUAUAAUGGAUACAACGCCUAUAUCUUACUUAAUUUUGUAAUUAAAGUCAGUUUGUAUACCACUAUAUUUAAUUAUAUUGAAUAAUUAUAUUUAAGAUUUUUAUAUUAAUAUAUAUUAAGUCAAGGUGCAACAAAUAAUUA